GAUGAACGCUGGCGGCGUGCCUAAUACAUGCAAGUCGAGCGAACGGACGAGAAGCUUGCUUCGCUGUUGUUAGCGGCGGACGGGUGAGUAACACGUGGAUAACCUACCUAUAUGACUGGGAUCACUUCGAGUAACCGUAGUUACUACCGGAUAAUAUUUUGAACCGCAUGGUUCAAGAGUGAAAGACGGUCUUGCUGUCACUUAUCGAUGGAUCCGCGCUGCAUUAGCUAGUUGGUAAGGUAACGGCUUACCAAGGAAACGAUGCAUAGGCGAGCUGAGAGAGGGAUCGGCCACACUGGAACGGAGACACGGUCCAUGCUCCUACGAGACGCAGCAGAAGGGAAUCGGCCGCAAUGGGCGAGAGCAUUACGGAGCAACGGCGCGUGAGUGAUGAAGGUCUUGCGAUCGUAAAACUCUGCUUUUAGGUAAGAACAUAUUUCUAAGUAGCUGUGCCCAUCGUGACGGUACCUACACAGAAAGCCCCGGCUAACUACGUG
Molecule: ribosomal RNA, 497 nt
Filed under: uncultured bacterium
Lineage: Bacteria
Description: partial 16S ribosomal RNA
Rfam family: Bacterial small subunit ribosomal RNA
Source: RNAcentral